Long non-coding RNA from Cyprinus carpio carpio, 1925 nucleotides. The record is from Ensembl. NCBI's taxonomy places the organism in Eukaryota, Metazoa, Chordata, Actinopteri, Cypriniformes, Cyprinidae.
AUGGGCUGUGUAGUAUCUUCACAAAGAGUAGUCUACCACAUAAAUGAGUUGAAGUCAAUCUUUACUUCUAUCUUCAGAAACUGCACAGGAAUCGGCAUCGCAGGCCGUCACUUUCAAGGACUUCGUUACACCAACUUCAAGAAACUGCACAGGAAUCGGCAACGCAGGCCGUCACUUUCAAGGACUUCGUUACACCAACUUCAAGGUAAGAACACAACACUUAUAACACAACAACGACCCCUUGUGGUUACUCCACAAUACUACAGGCUGCGGGAAAAUAAUGAAUAAAAAGAGAAGGGCUGCUGUGAGUGCAGGCAUGUUUCAACCCAGUAACAUGACAACACACUGUUCCUCACAGCCAACAAACAGACCGAAUUCAGUUCAGCUGGAGGGGGCUGGGGGUAGUUCUGUAUAGCUUGUGGGGGUCGAGAUAAAGGUGUGAAUUUCUUGCUCUUUCAUAUGGACAGUCUUAUGAGGGUUUCAAACUUGCAGAACAGGUUUUAGGACAACUUUAAAGAAAGGUUUGAUCACUUCAAAUGUUGACUACUGUAUAGCGCAAUAAAGUUUAUUAGUUAUGAUAACUUAAUUUCAGAGGAAGUUGUCUUAACUUAAAAAAAAAAAAACUGUUGCAUUAGGGCUGGGCGAUAGGCCUAUGGCCUAAAAAAAUCCCCGAUUUUUUUCACAAAAAAAUCCGAUUUACAAUUUAAAUCGAUUUUUUUUGCCUCCCUACUUAAAAUCAAUAUUCAAAUGACAAAGAAAAUGUUCAAAACAAGUUUUAAUAUAAAAAUAUAUUAUUUUUUAAUACUAGCCCAUCACGCCAUCCACUCGGCGUUAAGAGCUGUUCAGAUUAAAACUGGCAGCUCCGCAGUGAGUCAGUGUCAUGGACGGAGGACAGACCAAGUGUAGGCCUAAAUCAGUUUUCUAGUCUAUAUUUUCAUCUCGUUAUGCCGCUGGUUUAGGUUAUGUAUUUAUUUUUAUUUCUUAUAUCAAUUAUUUGUAAAUAUAGCAGACACUGUCUAACCGUGUCUACACCGGACGGCCUUGUUCAUAUAGGGCGAAACAUCUCUCUCACUCGGCAGUACAGUAGGCCUAUGUGAGCCGGCAGCAGAGAGUAUGUGAGAGUGGAGCAGCAACAAUUUCCCUCCGCGCUCCGAGCAUUUAAUAAUCACUAAGCUCCGUGACUAAAGUUGAAAUGUUAUGUUCAUAAUAGCUUAUAAAUAUAAAAUAAAAAUAAAUAAAUAAAUACAAUUACAGGAGAGUUUCAAAGGGGAUUAGGCUAUUGUGUGCAAACUUUUUUUCCUACCAAACCCCAAACUAAUAAAAUUGUCAGCAUUAAAAGGUAUAAUUGCUGCUUUCUGCUGUGCAAAUUUUGUUUGUGAUGAAAAUAACAGUUUACAUUUUCGUCAGUUAUUUUAUCUACAGAUCGAUGCAUUUGUUACAGAUUUCUGCUCAUUCAAAAUCAGAUACAGAUGAAGUAGCCUAUUGUAAGAUUACAUUUGUUUGAAUGCAUUAUUGCGACAGCGAUUACGUGUGAAUGUGCUGUAUCUGUUUAAAUCAUGCUUUUACCCAAAAAUAAUCAGUAAAAGGAAGACAAAUUCCUUGAGAACUAGCCUGUAACAUCCCGCUCGACUAUUGCCGUCAUUAUAGUCUUCUGAUCGGAGAGAUUAUGUGUAUCAAGCUAUAGCUAAAUAUGUUUGUCAUGUGAAUUCUUGCUAAAUAUGCAGUUAUAUUACGGGCUGUUGGCAUGAAUUGUAUUCGUGAUGGAGCGGUGCUGGAGCGAGUGAAAACCACGACACUCCUGACUUUUAAAAAAUCCGCUCCUCUUCAGUCAGAAUCACUCCGCUCCGCUCAUACUCUGCUCAGCAGCGUGUCUCAAACGCGCGGGGAGGCUUGAGCCCAAUCAUUCUCAAAACAUAAAAUAUUUA